This is a long non-coding RNA of Myotis davidii, 324 nucleotides long. RefSeq lists it as uncharacterized. The record is from RefSeq and is a predicted model, not a curated record. The transcript is spliced from 3 exons. NCBI's taxonomy places the organism in Eukaryota, Metazoa, Chordata, Mammalia, Chiroptera, Vespertilionidae.
UGGCUUAAAUUAGCCAGAGUCGGUUUUGGUUGGUUGCCAACAACCCAAAAGUAAAAAUAAAAUCCUUAACCAUAUUAACCAGUUCUUAACUGAUUCCUCCACUCAUGCCUGAAAUGUUGACAACAGACACUGGCUGGGGCAAGUCGUGCUUUCCCUUUGCACCUCGAGGUGGGGGUGACAUUUUAGCUUCAGCUGAUUCUCCUCCAUGACAGUUGCAUGGGAAUAGCAGAAGCCUCAAGUGGAAACACAGAUUCGGGCUAACACCUUUCCAGGGACUAACUAGUCAUCCAGAUCUGGAGUUCAACUGGGAGACUGAUUGCUCAC